AAGCGGUGGGUUGUAGCUCCACGAACAGAGGUUUGAGUCCUCUUCUUAC
RNAcentral lists this transfer RNA (49 nucleotides) under Scriptaphyosemion schmitti. RNAcentral describes it as "partial tRNA-Tyr". The record is from RNAcentral. Lineage: Eukaryota; Metazoa; Chordata; Actinopteri; Cyprinodontiformes; Nothobranchiidae.